GGAGAAAGGAUAAGAUCUGGGGAGAGCGAGGGAGAUGGCGUUUGCGAACAAGCGGAGGAUAAUGCUGUAUUUGCUGCGUGAAGCGGAGGUAAGGAAACACGGCUAAUAUAUCUGGGAUGCGCAGAGGGCUGGAUGCAUGUUUCAUCGACCAGUGAAAGCAUGGAAAUCGGAGACUAAUCGCCCACAGAGCUUGCAAUCUCACCUUUCUUACUAUUAAAGGAAUCACGUUUUGCAUCAUUCCUGUGUAAUUUUUAUUUUUAAUAAGUGAUUUUAUUACAAGCAUUUCUACGUGUAUAUGUGCUAUACGGUAUACUGUACAUAUCAAAUAUUGUUUGUCUUGUGCUCUCUCAAGUUGUGCAUUUCCAAUUUUGCUCCCCCACCCCUCCUUCCUCCCCCCAGGUCUGCGCAUGAAGAUGCCCAUUGCAGGGCCCCCCGGAUUAAAUGAAAGGAGAUCUGGGAUCGCCCGCUUUUCUUGGAAUAUGGGGAGUUUGGGGUGGGGGUGGGGGUGUCACAUGCGCUGCAGUGUCCGGCAAAAAUGCGCGGCGCUGCUGUGAUUCUUCUUGCAAGUAGUUAAAGGUGUGUCUAUAUAUAUAUAUAUGUGUGUAUGUAUGUGUGAAUGUUUGUAUAUAUAAAUAUGUGUGUGUGUAUUUGUGUAUAUAUAUGUCUGUGUGUGUUUGUAUCUAUACAUUUAUAAAUAUAUGUGUGUGUAUUUGUGUAUAUAUAUAUCUCUGUGUGUGUUUGUAUCUAUAUAUAUAUAUAUAUAUAUAUGUGUGUGUGUGUUUGUACAUAAAAUACGCACACCUAUAUAAAAUGUUUUUUUGAUGGAAGUGCAGGUAUUUGCUAACUUUGGAUAGGAAACUACAUCUCUCCUGAUUCCCCCCUCCUCCUCCCAUCGCUCCUUUGAGUUUAGUGCAUACCAGAUGACAGACUGAGCUCCGUUUGAUCGUUUCCUUGACAUUCAGCCAGGAGGCAGAGAGGCCCAGCAUCCGAGCGUGCAGGGUCUGUGUGUGCGCGCCGCACAUACUGAAUGCCUGAAUAAUAACAGAUCUUCGCCGUUGCUAGGUUAUUGCACCUUAAAGUGCUUUCGCUGAAGGAUGUUAAAAUCCGUGUGCCUUCAAUAAUUCUUAUCCCAAUGGCUCCAGAGGGAGAAUAUCCUGCUUUAUCAUCAUGGUGAGUUUAAAUCUGAGUUACUAUUGAACCAUGACGCUUUGGAUCUCCCAGCCUGAACUUUUAAUCCCCCAAAAAACCUGAAGGCAGCCACUACGAGCUGAGCGCAGAACGUGUUUCCAUAGUGGUUAAAUUGUGCACUAAAAAUUUAUUUUUUUCAGCUUUUAGAAGUUUCGUUGUCAUUCCCAGUGUAUUUGCAUGACAUUCUCUUCCCCCCCCCUCCCCACCUCCCCUUGUAACCCUUUCCCUCCCCAUUAACCCCGUCACCCUGUGCAAUGUGCUGCUGUGUCCUCUGGCAGAUAUGGAGUUAAAUACAAUUCUGAAUGUGACAUUGCACCUUCCUGUCUAUGUACCCCUCUCAAUCCCUGAGACCCUAACUUGUGAUGUUUGGCGUUUAAAAUCCACGGGUUAGGCUCUUGGGAGCUGCGAGGUGUGCGUGUGCUUCUGGAAUGGAGAGCAGACUGGGAUCAGGAGAGUCUGACGCUCUACGAGUAGGGGAGGCCUUGGGUUUAGGGAGCUCUGUGAUUAUUAACAUAACCUUUGCCAUCUGAAAAUACCACCUGUCAACUUUUCCCCAACUUUUCCCAACUUGUGAUUUACUUCUGCGGAGCAUAAUUUAUUUGUCUGGAAAAAAAAAUUGUGAAGGGGGAGAUAACAAAAGCAGUGGGUGUAAAAUAUUCAUGAGGAGCAGCGAUACAAUAGAUCGAGCGCCUGGUGAGGACUUGUUACCUCCUUUUUUUUUUUUUUUUUUUUUAAUUCUUUCUUUGAGAGCAGAGCAGAGUACCCAGAGGCGUAGACUAAAUCGCUCGGUACAUUGCGGCCUGACCUCAUAGUAUCUCAUCUGAAUUCCCAGCAUGCCUCAUACCUGCCAUUAAAGAAUCAAACUGUUUUGUUCAGAAAAUUGCAAGAGAACAGAAAACCUGCCUUUACUGCUCCCGUAAUACUGCUGUGUAUUCUGUCUGAUAAAUAAAUCCACUCCAUCUUCUCUGAUUUUGUUCGUGGUUAAAAUACCUGCUAUGCGCACCUCACAGGAGACCGUAAGCAUCAAUCCAACACUGUGAGCUUUACAAUGCGACAAAAUGUCUUGAUUUUAUUAACAAAAAAUAAUAAUAUGCUUUGCUCCCAAAAUCACUUCUUUAUUGCAGGAAGAAUAACCUAAAAUGGCUGCCAUCACUACCCAGGUUACUGACGCUUCAGAUAGACACUAAGGUUUUCUCAGAACAAGUGAGGGUUUCCGUAAGAUGAUCCGAAUAAUGUAAAUGAUGUUGGCUAAUAACUUGCAACACCUAUUUCCUUCUUAUUAAUAAAAUUGAUGGAGAGAUUGUAGUACAAAGGUGGCGUUGUAACACAUGUUAAGCAGCGCAAUUUGUGUUGACUUUUGCAGCCUUGAAACUUCAAACAAAAAUGUACGCCUGUUUAUACGUAAUAAAUUAUCGUGUUCUGUUCUUCGGCAACAUUUAAUGUUGGUGGAUGUACAUGUAGAAUAGAGGGGGAAGUUAGUCAGUAAAAUUAGAAUUGCUCCUUUUUCUUUUUUUUUUUUUUGACCAAAUUGGAAAAACUUUACUAUUUGGUUCUAAAAAUCCACAACUUCAAAUUAAGUGAGUAAACAUCAAUAUGUUGAAGUAAAAGUAGCCAAAGUAUCAGGAGCCGGUCUUUUAGUAAAGCUCUGAGGAGGAGGCUUGGAACCUUAACGUCUUGGUAAAGGCCUUGGAUACAGUUUAGUAAUGAAUGAUCUGCAGAUAUCACUGACCCUUUUUUCUUUCUUUUUUUUUUAAAUCUAAUUUUUCUUUUUUGCAUAUUUGCACCUGGCAAUGUGAUAUGGUUUGAAAUAAUGCAUGAUGCUACUGUAAUAUUCUUAAAGAGAAACUACAUGUAUAAUACUCUAUUUAUUAAUCCAAUACAUUUAACAAAUAAUGUGUUUGUGAAAAAUGAAAUGUAAAAAUUCAUAUGGGCAUAUUUACUUCUCUCCUAAAUUGGGCGCCUCCAUCUUAGCUCCCUGCCAACCAUUGCUGCAAGCUCUGUCCUUUACACUUGACAGGAACAAUUUUUCAAUUUCUUGUCCCCAUUUGAAAUUUGUGCCUUGGCUGUGCCAGGGCUGUACUGGAUUGUGAUGUAAUUUGUUUAAUCUUCAGUUUAAAUGAAAACCACAUCUCAUAAAAAAAGAAAAGGUUAAUACUAGUUGUAUGUGAUUUUUGAUGUUUUAUUAAAUUUAUAUAAUAUCAUACAAUUUCCAGAGAGAGGUAUUUUCUUCGUUUAAAAGGUGAAAGGGCUUCAUUUAGGUCCGUAUUUGUAUAAUGACCGGGAUCCAUGUGUUUGCAUUUCUAUGAUUUGGAAUCCUGUAUUGCUGGAGGCAAGCACUGUAAUUGUUUUAAUUGUAUAUUUCUACAUAUUUUUUUUUUAAUUACAAUGUUUGGGAUGUGAAAUAACAUGAUUUCAUAAUUUGUUACUUCCUAGUUUGAAUGAUACAUCGUUCUUUAGUUUAUAGUCUGUUAUAUCACAAUAAAACAUGGUUAUUCACUAAACAUUUUAGCACAUUUUAAUCCGAAAGGCAAAACGGAGGCUAAAAUAGUCAAACUGGGACAAUAACCGUAUCAGAGAUUGUUUCCAAAGCAGCUUUUUUUUUUACUUAACUUUUGCCUUUGGAUUUCAUUUGCUGAAAUGAGCGGUUUAGUGAGUUGAGCGGCGUUUGGCCUGGCCAUUUGAAAUUCUCUUUAAUUAGUGCCUGUAUAGUGUGACCAGGCAGGAGCCGUAGAGGAAAACUCCUCAAUACUGAUAUAACGUAGAUCUGAUUUUGUAGUUAUUAACACUGGAGCAAUGUUAGUGCUGGUGUGGGUGUAUGUAUAUGGAUCACAUGAUCAGGACUUUCCUUCUUGAGCGAAUUAAUUGAAUAAAGUUUGAAGUUGAAAUUUAUUUUCGAGUAACUCAUUGUGCACAAAGUGUGUCGUGAUAUGUACUAACACUGCUUAGAGAAACAAAAUAGUGACCAUCAAACAUAGAAGGGUGAACUAAAGGGAAGAGAUGAGAAGAGGUAAUGAUGAGGGGAAGAACAAAUCUAAGAUUCGAGAAUGGGUAGAGAAAGGCAUGCAGAAAAAAGCAAUAGUGAGUGAGCUCUUAAGAGGAGAGAAUAAGAAUAUGGUUUAUCUGGUAAAAUAACACCAUCAGAAAGUCAUUGCCAGCUGUCUAGGACAGCGGGUGGCAACCUUAGGCACUCCAAAUGUUGUGGGCUACAUCCCCCCUGUACUAGCAUUAUGGAUGUAAGAGCACGAGGGUUGUAGUCCACAACAUCUGGUGUGCCAAGGUUGGUUACCCAUGCCAUUGCCGGCUGUCUAGGGGGGAGCAAUGCAGACACGGUCAGCCAUUGCCGGCUGCCUAAGUGGGGAGCGAUGCAGAUGUGGUCAGCCAUUGCCGGCUGUCUAGGUGGGGAGCGAUGCAGAUGUGGUCAGCCAUUGCCGGCUGUCUAGGUGGGGAGCGAUGCAGACACGGUCAGCCAUUGCCGGCUGUCUAGGUGGGGAGCGAUGCAGACACGGUCAGCCAUUGCCGGCUGCCUAGGUGGGGAGCGAUGCAGACACGGUCAGCCAUUGCCGGUUGCCUAGGUGGGGAGCGAUGCAGAUACGGUCAGCCAUUGCCGGUUGCCUAGGUGGGGAGCGAUGCAGACACGGUCAGACAUUGCCGGCUGUUUAGGUGGGGAGCGAUGCAGACACGGUCAGCCAUUGCCAGCUGUCUAGGUAGGGAGCGAUGCAGACACUGUCAGCCAUUGCCGGCUGCCUAGAUGGGGAGCGAUGCAGACACUGUCAGCCAUUGCCGGCUGUCUCGGUGGGGAGCAAUGCAGACACAGUCAGUGGUCCAGAGAGUGAGUAGAAUUAUGUAAUUUUUCUGCGUGUUUUUAUUAAAAAAAAUUUUAGGCUUCUUACAGGUGUCUUAAAAAUAACACCAGGGAAGUAACCCAAGGCUGUGGGACACGGGUGCCAAAUCAGGACUGUCACCUGAUUGGGAGGCACUUUGGCAUUAUGGAAUUUUGAGUUGUUUUUGCUGGGCAGUUUAGGGAUAAAUAAAUGGUAAAUGAAUUAAAUGCGUCAAAGUAUACAUUUUCUAAAGUGGACAUCUCUGAGAAAUUCACAUAAGAAAUGUAACCACCUACCCACUUACAUUACGAUGUAUGUAAUCAGGGAAAAGGAGAGUGGAAAUUAAAUGACAUCAGUGAUUCACACAGAAAAGUUGGAAAAUUCUUACAUUUUAAACUAUGUUCCCAAAGAUCCCGCAUUCACACUGAGCAUUUAUUUUUAUCUUCAUUGUUUUCAUGUUAGGAAGGUUGAACUUGAUGGACACACGUCUCUAUGUAACAUGCUCAUACUGUGCCGUGUUCGUAUUCUCCAUACUUUACCGGUAUGGUAGUUAAACCGCCUAGUAUUUGUAAAUGAUAUGCACAGAAAAAGAAGACAUGACAAUCUAAUUGGCUAUAUCUAAUAUUUUCCACUUUUCUUUUUUUUUUAAACCGCCCAUAGUGUAUGUAUUGUCUUUAAUAAUCAUUCGGUAAAGGUGAUCUAGUCAUACAGUGUUAUAGUCACUGCUUCAUCUCACUGAAGUGGUUAUAGUGUCUGAAGUCCCCUGGUGCUGUCCUUCCAUCAAUGUUAACUUGUUGUUUUAAUGCUACAUUAGUCCCCAGCAGCCGAUCCCCUCUGUUCUGCUUGUACUAAUGUUGAAGCACUAGCCUGACCAGCAAUGGGCGGCUGAGACAAGUGAACUAAUUCAAUGAGAUGAAAUAGUUAUAGUGCCUACACCGUACCUUUAAUGAAGUGAUGCGCUGACAAUGGAUCCAUAACGCUGUAUUGGCAAUUGCAGCAAUGUUUACACAGCCAUAAUUCAGCCCCUUAAAACUGUCUCUCAUGCCUGUGUCUGUUUUACGCAGCUUGGGCUGUUUACUGGACUGCGCAUGCACAGAAUCCAGUGACGUGAAUCACUAAACAUGAAUAAACCAAGAGCCACUACAUUGUGGCUGUUAUCACUUUAGAAAAUACUUCCAAUCAUCUUAUGACAUGAGCGGAACUGUUCAUUGAGGAUAAACGAAUAGCCCCAUAAAUGUUUCCUGAGCCAAGAUUGUCGGGUAAGAAUGAGGCACUCCCUGUGGGGGGGCUGCAGGCAGUCCUACUAAACAGUGAUUACACAUUUUUUUUCCUUUAAUUUUUAAUGGAUUAUCUUUAUAAAGACAUGGCGUGAGCAUGUUACAGGUUUGAUUAUAAAAAAAUUCAAAAUCCUGUAUUUUAACUGAUACUGAGAGUUAAUUAUUGAUUUGUCCUUUUGAUGGCACGGAGACAUUUAACCCCUUAAGGACACAUGACAUGUGACAUGUCAUGAUUCCCUUUUAUUCCAGAAGUUUGGUCCUUAAGGGGUUAAGUCAAUUUCUUGGUCCAGGGGUCUUUUCUUCCCAUCUUUCCAAUUUUUAUUCACAGAUAGUUCAACCUUUACGCAGUCGAAUGCUUGGAAGGAGAGUUACUAAUAGAACCAUUUGGGAACAUGUAUCGGACGUGAUGUGUUUAGCUGAGUUUCUGGAAAAGUCCUGUGAUAAUACUACGUGCUAUCUUUUUGGUAUAAAUCCUGCGCUGUCUGGAUAUUUACUGUAUUGAUUGGACGGAGCCUGAAGGUGUCUGUGUCCCAGUAACAGUGACCUGCGGCUGCUUUGUAUGUCUGGCGCUGUCACUUUAUUUGCUGUCACUGUUUCCAUGGGGAAUGGAUCGCAGACCUUUCUUGUCUGCGCACUAACAAACCAUUGCUGAUGCACCAGUCGCGUUUUUUUUUUAUUCCGUUUCUCUGUAUGGGAAAAAUUCUUUAUUUGGAAAAUUAAUUCAUUAUCGCAUUGUCUACAUUUUCACAUAGGUAGCAGAUUGUGACUAUUCAUUAUCGCUUUUUUUUCUCUUGCAGUUUAUAAUUCCAUUCUUUAACAAAAAAAAAUGAAAAACUGUAUAGAGCGAGAUUCAGUCGAUUCCCCAAUCUCUCUCAUUUCCUUGUUUUGUGUUUUGCAAUAGGUUGCAUUCCCUUAAUUUAAAAUAAUAAAAUAGUAAUUUAUGCUUUUGACACAUGUAUCAGUGUAAUUCCCUUAUAAGCAGAUUUGUACUUUACCUCGAUCACAAGGUCCCCUUGAGGCAAAUUAUGAAAUAUAAUCUUUGCAUUAUGCUAUGUAUUUUUUGCCAAAAUUAGCAGAUGUAUAAACCAAAGGUAUACUAUAGGCAUCAAAACAACUUCAGCUUAAUGAAGCAGUUUUAGUUUGUAGAUCAGAUGUGUCCAACUUGCGGCCCUGUACUGCUUGUAAUGUGGUCCAGUUGCCUUCCGGGCAGCCUGGCAGUGAGGGCGGCAGGGAACCAAUUACAUACUGUGCUCUUUCUGCACAGCUCCUUUGCGUGCCCUGCAGUGAGUUGGCGGCUGGGUAUGAUGUCAUUCCAGCAUUGGCAUCACUAAGCAGCAACCACUAGCCAACAGGGAGAGCAUCCUCUCCAGCCCUCCCUAAGGUUCCUAAUUUCUAAAUGUGAUUUUUGUGUGUGUAUGCCAGUGAUAGUGUGUAUGUGAUUGAUUGUGUAUGUGUAUAUAUCUGAGUAUGUCUAUGUUAUUUAUAAAAUAUUUUACCAGGAAAGAUACAUUGAGAUUUCUCUCAUUUUCAAGUAUGUCCUGGGUGAACAUGUAUGGGAUUGUAUGUGUAUACCUGUAAUUAUACUUUUGAUUGUUUUGUAUUGAGUGUCUCAAGCAUUACCCGGUUGUGUGAAAUGUGUUUUUAGAAAGAAAGAAAGAAAAAAACACCUUAGACACAACUGGGUAAUCCCUAAAUCCUGCACUGUUAGAGAUACUUGAGGACUGUGUUGGGAACCACUGGUCAAGAAGGUGAUUAACAAAGCUGGAGAUAAGCAAUUCUAAAUUAAACCGACUGUACAAUAAAGUAACCUAGUCUAUCUAGGUUACUUUUCAGGACUUGUUUGGGAAAGCUGUGUAAGUCACAUGCAGGGAGGUGUGAUACGGGCUGUAAAAACAGUGAUUUAACGCCUAAAGUGUCCACACUGUGCAGCACAGACGUUCAGCGUCUCCACUCUGUCCAUGGAGAUGCUGAAUGCUUGAUAUAAAGAUUCAGUGCAUCUCAGAGAAGAUGCUGAUUGGCUCAGUGCAGGGUUAUAGCCUCCCAAUGUUUCUCCACUGGAUUGGCCGAGAUCAUCAAGUUUAAUGAUCUCAGCCAAGGUGGCGAAGCAAGCUGCCAGAAGACCCGCGCAGCGCUAGGUUAAGGUAAGUAAAAUCACCUUUUUAACGGGACAAGGGAGGCCGGUCACCUGAACAGCUAUUUAGACCUAUAGUGUCAGGAAUACAUAUCUGUAUUCCUGACCCUAUAGUGUUCCUUUAAAUAAAUAAAAAGCUGUGGUUAUAUCAAAAUAACACAAAAAGAAAAUAUUUUGAAUAUACAUUUAUUUUCUUUUGUUUUAGUAAUAAAACUGUACUAGACCAUAUAUACAUUUUUCUGUCUUAUCUACAAUGCACCAACAUAAUAAAUUUUUCACACUUUCUGUUCCUUUUGCAAUUUUUGCUCCUAAAGAUUUUCCUGGGAAGCUAACAAGUUGUAGUGCUGCUCCCACUAGUUUGUUGUAGAGAUGCAUUCGUUUUUCUUCUUUUAAGCUUGCUGCAGCCACUCAUACUCGGGGCAGCAGCAGCAGCACAGUUUGUCUCACAAGAAUGGUGAUGUCACUUAGUGAGUGUGAGGUCUUUUAAUUGCAUCGGUGUAAACUGUGCAGUUAGAUCGGGGGUUUCCAUGAAGUACAGAUAGGCAUGGUGCGUGGAGUGUCCUUUUUAAACCACAAAUUCACAAUUUUCUAUUUGCAUGACAGACACUAUAUGAAUUUCCAUAUUCUGGGCUGAAUGUCUGGGUGCCCCAGUCUUUGUUCCUUGUCGCCUGCGCCCAGCGAGCGGUGGGGUGAAGUGGCUGCUAAUUGAGGGGUUCACCAUGAGCUCAUAUUAGUUUGAGUAGGCGCGACAUGUAUUGAAAACACCAGCAAUGCACCUGGAUUCUCAAGCGGGGGAUAUUUGCUUAAUUAGCAGGAAUUCAAGGGCCAGCUAAGGAAUUUCCAUUGAGUAAGUUCAUGCAGAAGGCAAUUACCGCAGGACGAUGGAAAUCCAGCGCAGUUUGAAUGCUGUUGUUUAUGAAACUUUUCAUCUUGACAAGUAAAUCUCGUUAUUAUGAUUUCUUUCUCGGCUCAGUUCGGUGCCCAAACAAUGCUCUCUUUCACUAAUUGUAGAGAUGGUAGGAAUAUGUUAUGUUCUCAGGGCUUGAAUAUGGUUAAUUUAACCUGAAGAUCACUUUUAGCUCAUUCAAAUCUCAAAUAAAAUCAGAGGAUUUCAGACUGUCUGUUAUUGUAUGUAUAUUGUGCAGUGUAUAUAAUAUAUACUUCUAGAUACACUCAAUGGAUUGAAAUAAAUGUUCCCAUAUUCUGUUAUAUUCAGAGAUAAAUGUUCUGGUACUCUGCUAUAUUCAGAGAUAAAUGUUACUCUCCUGUUUUUUUUACUAGGGUAAUAAUAUUGCUUGCUCUCUCUCCUAUAUUGGGAAAAACUGUUCUUGUACAAUACUGAUAGGAAUAAAUAUUCUGGGACUGUACUAUAGGGGGAAAAAAGGUUCCGGUAUUCUCCUAUACUGGGGGAAAAACAUGUUAUGGUCUUCUCCUAUACUGGGGGAAUAAAGGUUCCGAUCCUCUCCUAUACUGGGGGAAUAAAGGUUCUGGUCCUCUCCUAUACUGGGGGAAUAAAGGUUCCGAUCCUCUCCUAUACUGGGGGAAUAAAGCUUCGGUACUCUCCUAUACUGGGGGAAUAAAGGUUCCGAUCCUCUCCUAUACUGGGGGAAUAAAGGUUCUGGUCCUCUCCUAUACUGAGGGAAUAAAGGUUCCGAUCCUCUCUUAUACUGGGGGAAUAAAGGUUCAGGUCCUCUCCUAUACUGGGGGAAUAAAGGCUCCGGUCCUCUCCUAUACUGGGGGAAUAAAGAUUCCGAUCCUCUCCUAUACUGGGGGAAUAAAGCUUCCAGUCCUCCUAUACUGGGGAAUAAAGGUUCAGGUCCUCUCCUAUACUGGGGGAAUAAAGGUUCAGGUCCUCUCCUAUACUGGGGGAAUAAAGCUUCCGGUCCUCCUAUACUGGGGAAUAAAGGUUCAGGUCCUCUCCUAUACUGGGGAAUAAAGGUUCAGGUCCUCUCCUAUACUGGGGGAAUAAAGGUUCAGGUCCUCUCCUAUACUGGGGGAAUAAAGGUUCAGGUCCUCUCCUAUACUGGGGGAAUAAAGGUUCAGGUCCUCUCCUAUACUGGGGGAAUAAAGGUUCCGAUCCUCUCCUAUACUGGGGGAAUAAAGGCUCCGGUCCUCUCCUAUACUGGGGGAAUAAAGCUUCCAGUCCUCUCCUAUACUGGGGGAAUAAAGCUUCCGGUCCUCCUAUACUGGGGAAUAAAGGUUCAGGUCCUCUCCUAUACUGGGGGAAUAAAGGUUCCGAUCCUCUCCUAUACUGGGGAAUAAAGGUUCAGGUCCUCUCCUAUACUGGGGGAAUAAAGCUUCCGGUCCUCUCCUAUACUGGGGGAAAUAAAGGCUCGGGUCCUCUCCUAUACUAGGGGAAUAAAGGUUCUGAUCCUCUCCUAUACUGGAUGAAUAAAGGUUCCGAUCCUUUCCUAUACUAGGGGAAUAAAGGUUCUGAUCCUCUCCUAUACUGGGGGAAUAAAGGUUCAGGUCCUCUCCUAUACUGGGUGAAUACAGGUUCUGAUCCUUUCCUAUACUGGGUGAAUACAGGUUCUGAUCCUUUCCUAUACUGGGGGAAUAAAGGUUCCGGUCCUCUCCUAUACUGGGGGAAUAAAGGUUCAGGUUCUCUCCUAUACUGGGGGAAUAAAGGUUCAGGUCCUCUCCUAUACUGGGGGAAUAAAGGUUCCGGUAUUCUCCUAUACUGGGAAACUAUACUUUCUUAUACUGGGGAACAAAAAUUUCCAAUACUCCAUGUGCAGCUAGGAUUUGUCACAACAAUUUAAUUUGAAUUAUCAUAAUUAUUAUUUUCUUUUUAAAACAAAAAUCUGAAGAACACUAUGCAAUCAUUGGGACAGAGCUAAGAAAAUGCAUCUGAAAUAUUGUGAAAUAUUUAUGUAUUACAAUAAAUGUACCUUACUAGAUCAAGCUUUCCAUAUAUGUUUAAUUCCUUGUUUUAUUAAAUCCCAUUUUACUAAAGGCAUGACAGUGGAUCCAGCCUGUAACUCUAAUCCAAGUUCUAAUCAUCAAAUACAUCCUAUUUUAUACAGCAUCAAGGUCUAUUAUUAGAUUUAUUAGAUUUAUUUGUGAUUGCCGAUUCAUCGAUAGUCACAUAAAAUACAAUUUGUUGGGGUUUGUCUGCUAAACACUGAUCUGUAGGAGAUUAACAACCAAAUUACAUAAUUUGGGCUAAAAUAGUUGAUUUCGAAAAAUUCCCCGUCUCAGCUUGGCUAAUUGUAAUUAUAUUCUAGAAAUUCAUUUUUUCCAUUCGCUGUAAAUUGCUGUUUAGUGAAUUCGACUCCAUGUUGUGUUCCCUAUUCUGCAGCUUCAUGGCUCUCCUUUCUCUGAGCGCGUUGGUGCAGCUCGCUAACAUGAAUACCAUAAUUGCUGCCUGCUUCAAUCUGUGCGAGUCUAGACUGCGAGAAGAGCUUCAGCCAUGGAGGAUAGUGUGUUAUAGCAGGUCGACUUGUGUCCUGAGUGUGUCCCUCCCAACACCUAACAUUCUAAGGCGAAAAGCAGAAUAAAUGGGGGAACCAACAAGCAUUUAUCAUCUAAGAAUGAUGUAGAUAGUGUAUAAAGCAGAGCAUUGCACCCCUCCCCUCCCCCUUCUCAUUGCUGAGUUCAUCGAGGACAGCACUGCGUUCAAUAUUUCCCGAAGCAGAAACGCUCCAAGCAGCUCACAAACCUGUUGGCAUUUAACAAAAGCACGAGAAAGCAGGAUCUCUAUUUAGAAAUCCUUUGUGAACCUUUCUUGGCUAAAACCCUGGUUUUUAAAUCUUUGAUUUUUUUUUUUUUUUUAUGGUUCCUGAUUGUUUCACAGUUUAAUUUUUAUUUAUCAUGAGAUGUUUUUUUCUGCAAUGUAUUUCUUCCGUUUAACAGUAUUUAAUAGAAAUCUUAUAUUACGUACUUACUAUUGAUCACACUAAAACAAACCAGUUAGGCCCUCCUACUAAAGUAUGCGAUUACCCCACCGGUAAUCACUGGUGUCCAGUUAAAUUGUAUAUAUAUAAUACAUAUUACAUAUAUUGUUCAACACUAGACGGUCUUAACCCAAAUAUGCCAUUACUCCUUUUACAUGGCAAACCUCUGACCACUACUAAAUUCAUAUUAGACAUCAGAACACUUUUCAUUAGACUCGGUCUUGACCCCUCUGCCUUUUCUGACCACACCUUCAGAAUUGGGGCCGCUUCCGCGGCAUCAAGCCACAAGGUCACUGCUCAUAUAAUUAAGAGGUUAGGACGCUGGAAAUCAGCAGCAUAUACCAGUUAUAUACCACAGCCAGAACAGGAAUUGAGAUUAGCAUUUAAAGGCUUAGUUUUUUAACAUUAUUAUUAUUAUUUUAUUAUUACAUGUAUGUAAUAAAGGUUAUUUGUAUACAUCAACUUUUAGCCCUCUUUUAUUACAGGCCUACCCCAUACGUCGGUUACGGCACACCACAACCGACUGGUGCUUACUUCUAAUUAUAUUAUUAUUGGAAUUCCUUAUUAUAAUGGCUUAUAUCCCAGACUACAAAUACAUAAAUAUAUAUCGUGUGUAUUAUGGGAAAAUAUUGCUAGCGAUCUCGUACCCCAUGUGAGCAAAGAUUGCGCCUAAAUCCCUCCAAGAUGUCAUUAUUUUCAGUAAAACCACAUAUAUAUAUAAUCUCUAUCACAUCAUGGUCUACCUGAGAAUUCGCACAGAUCCUCUGUAAAGUCUGCGGCUUCUGCCUCUGGCAAAACCAGCACAUACUGUCUUACUCUGCCCAAUAUUAGUGAGAGUUGCUCCUGAGCAGCAUUUGUAAUGACUGAAAUAGUCCUGGGCUUACAACUGCCACAAAUCUUAGACAGCACUGGGGCUACAGUACCCUUAAUCAUUAACUCCUGUUCUAUCACACUACAAUAAAUACCCCAACUACACUACACUACACUAUAAUCAUUAACCCCUACACUACCAUUAUACUAUAGCCAAUCAUUAACCCCUACACUACAACUAUACUAUAGCCAAUCAUUUAAUGGGCCAAGCCGUGUACUGCAAAAUAUACAGAAUAUAAAUUUAAUGUAAAUAUAUUUAUAUAAUGUAAAUAUUCUGUAUCUUUUUUGCAGUACCAUAAUAGGCGUCUUUUCCCAUCAUUUGGUUCAUAGAUCAAGUCAGAAGACUAAUAACAAAGGAGCUGUAAAAAUGUAAAUCUAUGCUCUCCUCUGCUCCCAACAUGGCGGAUAAAUCUAGGAAAGAAAACCCAAUGCGCAAACUGAGGAUCCGCAAGCUGUGCCUGAACAUCUGUGUUGGUGAGAGCGGUGACAGACUGACCCGGGCAGCCAAAGUGCAGCUCGCCAGUCAGACUCCUGUUUUCUCCUAAGUAUGUUACACUGUCAGAUCCUUUGGUAUCAGGAGGUAUGAAAAGAUUGCUGUUUAUUGCACAGUGCGAGGAGCCAAAGUUGAGUAGGUCAGAGAAUACGAAUUGAGGAAAAAUAACUUUUCUGACACCAGGAACUUUGGGUUUGGAAUCCAGUAGCACAUUGAUCUGGGAAUUCAAUAUGACCCAAUCAUUGGAAUCUAUGGUUUGGACUUCUAUGUGGUCUUGGGCCGGCCUGGUUCCAGCAUUGCUGAUAAGAAGUGGCUUCAUUGGCACAAAGCACAGAAUUGGGAAAGAGGAGGCAAUGCUUUGGUUACAGCAAAAGCACGGUGGAAUCAUACUCUCUGGAAAGUGAGUUGCUUCUGUCUUCAAAACUCAAUACAAAUUUCUGAUAAAAAAAAAAGUAAAUCUAUAGUUUAUAAUUAUGAAAUUUGUUUAUUUUUUAUUAUUCCUUUUUUCCCUCUGUUGAUCACUUCUCACCUGAUUUGGGAAUAAAAUCACCAUUUAGUAGCUGUUCCCUAACCAUCAGUCAUCUUUUUUGAAACAUGAACAGAACUCUAAAUCAUGAAUCACACAAAACUGUUAGUGUAUUGUCUGGUUUUUUGUUUUGUUUUGUGAUUUGCCCACAUAGCGUUUUGGAUUUAUGGAAUUCAGAAGUAUCACCGGUAUCAC
RNAcentral lists this long non-coding RNA (14397 nucleotides) under Pelobates cultripes (western spadefoot toad). The stretch from base 1524 to 1595 matches the Rfam family "lin-4 microRNA precursor family", at positions 1 to 71 of the family's 80-position model. The record is from RNAcentral. Lineage: Eukaryota; Metazoa; Chordata; Amphibia; Anura; Pelobatidae.